This 254-nucleotide ribosomal RNA is filed under the name uncultured bacterium. Its description in RNAcentral is "partial 16S ribosomal RNA". It matches the Rfam family "Bacterial small subunit ribosomal RNA", at positions 524 to 776 of the family's 1533-position model. The record is from RNAcentral.
UACGGGGGGGGGCAAGCGUUGUUCGGAAUUACUGGGCGUAAAGGGCUCGUAGGCGGCCAACUAAGUCCGACGUGAAAUCCCCAGGCUUAACCUGGGAACUGCGUCGGAUACUGGAUGGCUUGAAUCCGGGAGAGGGAUGCGGAAUUCCAGGUGUAGCGGUGAAAUGCGUAGAUAUCUGGAGGAACACCGGUGGCGAAGGCGGCAUCCUGGACCGGCAUUGACGCUGAACAGCGAAAGCCAGGGGAGCAAACAGG